GACGAACGCUGGCGGCGUGCUUAACACAUGCAAGUCGAACGGGAUUUAGUAAACAGAAGCCUCGGUGGAAGAUUACUAAUGAGAGUGGCGAACGGGUGAGUAACGCGUGAGCAACCUGCCUAUGACAGUGGGAUAGCCUCGGGAAACCGGGAUUAAUACCGCAUAAAAUCGUAGAAACACAUGUUUUAACGGUCAAAGAUUUAUCGGUCAUAGAUGGGCUCGCGUCUGAUUAGCUAGUUGGUGAGAUAACAGCCCACCAAGGCGACGAUCAGUAGCCGGUCUGGGAGGAUGAACGGCCACAUUGGAACUGAGACACGGUCCAAACUCCUACGGGAGGCAGCAGUGGGGAAUAUUGCACAAUGGGGGAAACCCUGAUGCAGCGACGCCGCGUGAACGAAGAAGGUAUUCGUAUCGUAAAGUUCUGUCCUAUGGGAAGAUAAUGACAGUACCAUAGAAGAAAGCUCCGGCUAAAUACGUG
This 478-nucleotide ribosomal RNA is filed under the name uncultured bacterium. Its description in RNAcentral is "partial 16S ribosomal RNA". It matches the Rfam family "Bacterial small subunit ribosomal RNA", at positions 28 to 507 of the family's 1533-position model. The record is from RNAcentral.